AUAAUGAGAAGAUACAAGCAUUGCAGAGAAUGAGUAAAAUGAAAGAUCUUGAGAUUGAGGAUUUAAAAGCUGCACUUAGAAAGAAGGCAUUGGACCAAAAUUCAGCUAGCCCCCAAGCAAUGACAGGUCAAAUUGAGUGGCACAGUAGUGAGGUUCAGCUCACUUCUCCAUCAGAACAACAGUGCUCAGAAGUCCUUGCAAAACUGCAGGAUAAGCAUCAACAGAUUUAUCUUAGAGAGUCAUCUUCUAGCAUUGCUGAGUUGCUAAUCCCACUUUUGAUGCAGAAGAAAACUGUCUGAUGUCUUUUUGUUUUUUCAACUCCACUAAAACAUGAUUUUAUUUGCUCCUUAUCAUCAGAAAUUUUGAAUAACAA
Molecule: long non-coding RNA, 373 nt
Organism: Amphimedon queenslandica
Lineage: Eukaryota; Metazoa; Porifera; Demospongiae; Haplosclerida; Niphatidae
Exons: 2
Source: RefSeq, a predicted model, not a curated record